UACGUAGGUGGCAAGCGUUGUCCGGAGUUAUUGGGCGUAAAGCGCGCGCAGGCGGUGCGGUAAGUCUCUGGUGAAAGCGCUCGGCUUAACUGGGCGAGGGCCGGGGAGACUGCCACGCUGGAGGGGAGCAGAGGCGAGUGGAAUUCCGGGUGUAGUGGUGAAAUGCGUAGAGAUCCGGAGGAACACCAGUGGCGAAGGCGGCUCGCUGGGCUCUACCUGACGCUGAGGCGCGAAAGCGUGGGGGAGCGAACCGGG
Molecule: ribosomal RNA, 255 nt
Filed under: uncultured bacterium
Lineage: Bacteria
Description: partial 16S ribosomal RNA
Rfam family: Bacterial small subunit ribosomal RNA
Source: RNAcentral